RNAcentral lists this transfer RNA (77 nucleotides) under Desulfurobacterium crinifex. RNAcentral's name for it is "tRNA-Met". It matches the Rfam family "tRNA". From Rfam's summary of the family: Transfer RNA (tRNA) molecules are approximately 80 nucleotides in length. Their secondary structure includes four short double-helical elements and three loops (D, anti-codon, and T loops). Further hydrogen bonds mediate the characteristic L-shaped molecular structure. tRNAs have two regions of fundamental functional importance: the anti-codon, which is responsible for specific mRNA codon recognition, and the 3' end, to which the tRNAs corresponding amino acid is attached (by aminoacyl-tRNA synthetases). tRNAs cope with the degeneracy of the genetic code in two manners: having more than one tRNA (with a specific anti-codon) for a particular amino acid; and 'wobble' base-pairing, i.e. permitting non-standard base-pairing at the 3rd anti-codon position. RNAcentral also lists the same sequence under 3 other names. Lineage: Bacteria; Pseudomonadati; Aquificota; Aquificia; Desulfurobacteriales; Desulfurobacteriaceae. The record is from RNAcentral.
GGGCCUGUAGCUCAGUUGGUUAGAGCAUCCGGCUCAUAACCGGACGGUCGGAGGUUCGAGUCCUCCCAGGCCCACCA